This 224-nucleotide unclassified non-coding RNA is filed under the name uncultured fungus. RNAcentral's name for it is "sequence contains ITS1, 5.8S rRNA gene". The stretch from base 176 to 224 matches the Rfam family "5.8S ribosomal RNA", at positions 1 to 49 of the family's 154-position model. The record is from RNAcentral. Lineage: Eukaryota; Fungi.
UCUCCGUAGGUGAACCUGCGGAGGGAUCAUUACCGAGUGAGCGCUCCGGCGCGACCUCCAACCCCAUGUUUUCCGACUCUGUUGCCUCGGGGGCGACCCUGCCGUUCGGCGCGGCGCCCCCGGAGGCUCAUCAAACACUGCAUCUUUGCGUCGGAGUCUUAAUGAAUUUAAACAAAACUUUUAACAACGGAUCUCUUGGUUCUGGCAUCGAUGAAGAACGCAGC